This 496-nucleotide ribosomal RNA is filed under the name uncultured Lachnospiraceae bacterium. RNAcentral's name for it is "bacterial SSU rRNA". It matches the Rfam family "Bacterial small subunit ribosomal RNA", at positions 10 to 507 of the family's 1533-position model. Lineage: Bacteria; Bacillati; Bacillota; Clostridia; Lachnospirales; Lachnospiraceae. The record is from RNAcentral.
AGUUUGAUCCUGGCUCAGGAUGAACGCUGGCGGCGUGCUUAACACAUGCAAGUCGAACGAAGCACAUUGAAGGAAUUCUUCGGAAGGAAAGUGAUGUGACUGAGUGGCGGACGGGUGAGUAACGCGUGGGUAACCUGCCUUACACAGGGGGAUAACAGUUAGAAAUGACUGCUAAUACCGCAUAAGACCACAGGGUCGCAUGAUCUUGUGGAAAAACUGAGGUGGUGUAAGAUGGGCCCGCGUCUGAUUAGCUAGUUGGUGAGGUAAGAGCUCACCAAGGCGACGAUCAGUAGCCGACCUGAGAGGGUGAACGGCCACAUUGGGACUGAGACACGGCCCAAACUCCUACGGGAGGCAGCAGUGGGGAAUAUUGCACAAUGGGGGAAACCCUGAUGCAGCGACGCCGCGUGAGUGAAGAAGUAUUUCGGUAUGUAAAGCUCUAUCAGCAGGGAAGAAAGUGACGGUACCUGACUAAGAAGCCCCGGCUAACUACGUG